UUUCCGUAGGUGAACCUGCGGAAGGAUCAUUAAAGAACGCCCCGUUUUUUGAAAUGGGUAAUUCUAAACCGUGUAUACAUACCUUUGUUGCUUUGGCAGGCCGCCCCUCAGGGCGUCGGCUCCGGCUGACUGCGCCUGCCAGAGGACCCAAACUCUUUUGUUUAGUGAUGUCUGAGUGCUAUAUAAUAGUUAAAACUUUCAACAACGGAUCUCUUGGUUCUG
This 222-nucleotide unclassified non-coding RNA is filed under the name plant metagenome. RNAcentral's name for it is "partial contains small subunit ribosomal RNA, internal transcribed spacer 1, and 5.8S ribosomal RNA". The record is from RNAcentral.